Small nucleolar RNA from Gadus morhua (Atlantic cod), 205 nucleotides. Its record names the gene U3. It matches the Rfam family "Small nucleolar RNA U3". Rfam says of the family: Small nucleolar RNAs (snoRNAs) are involved in the processing and modification of rRNA in the nucleolus. The record is from Ensembl. Lineage: Eukaryota; Metazoa; Chordata; Actinopteri; Gadiformes; Gadidae.
AUUCAAAUAUUGUAGAUCAUUUCAAGUCAUUUGCACACGCUAUCGUCUGGAAUGUUGAAGAGCCACCACGAUGAAGAGAACUGAUGUUCCCUUCUGAGCGCGAAGCGGGCAGUGAGUGAUGAUGCAUUUCAUCCGCUCCUUGCCAUUGAUGACCGUUCCAUGCUCUCUAGUGGAGCCUGGAGGUAGGGAUCAUGAUCAGAGUGGU